RNAcentral lists this ribosomal RNA (253 nucleotides) under uncultured bacterium. Its description in RNAcentral is "partial 16S ribosomal RNA". It matches the Rfam family "Bacterial small subunit ribosomal RNA", at positions 524 to 776 of the family's 1533-position model. The record is from RNAcentral.
UACGUAGGGAGCGAGCGUUGUCCGGAUUUACUGGGUGUAAAGGGUGCGUAGGCGGCUCUGCAAGUCAGGUGUGAAACCCAUCGGCUUAACUGAUGGACUGCAUUUGAAACUGUAGGGCUUGAGUGGAGUAGAGGCAGACGGAAUUCCCGGUGUAGCGGUGAAAUGCGUAGAGAUCGGGAGGAACACCAGUGGCGAAGGCGGUCUGCUGGGCUUUAACUGACGCUGAGGCACGAAAGCAUGGGUAGCAAACAGG